RNAcentral lists this long non-coding RNA (2016 nucleotides) under Homo sapiens (human). RNAcentral describes it as "HSALNT0161953". The record is from RNAcentral. Lineage: Eukaryota; Metazoa; Chordata; Mammalia; Primates; Hominidae.
ACUUCAAUUUUAAUCUGGAUAACGCCAAAGCUUUUCCUCAAAUUCACCCCUGGAGUCAGCUCAUAGAUGCUCUGAUUUUGUCUACCAUUGCUCCUCCUUAAUAUCUCUCGCACAGGUGCCAUUGACCUUUAGAUGGGCUGUACGGUGUGGGGUUCGGUGCCAUGGAUCUGCUUCUCCAGGGACCAGGAUCUUGAGAUCUUCAGGCUGGGUUUCCAUGGAGGCAUGGAGCUGCUUUUCCUCCUUCAUAACUGCACUCAAAACAGCCCUGUUGCUCUAGAAUGGAGACUUGGGCAACUCCUUCUGGCACAGAUUUGUUCACCUCAGGUGAAAUUCAGAUAGAAGCAAGCUGCAGGCAGUUUCACCUCUAAGUCCAUGGGUUCUCAACUGGUAACGUCCUCUUAUGGAUGUUAGCCCAUGAGGUCAAUCCUGUAGCAAUCUAAGGCUUGAGAAAAAUUAAUCUUCUGGAAAAUUCCAAGAAUACAUCUUAGGGAAACUGGCUCUACCUUUAUGACUUGGAUCACACAAGGAUAUGCUUUUCAUCUUGGACUAGAACUGAGAGCCAAUGGAUGUGUUAUCUAAAACUAUCCCAGUGUGUUCACUAUACAGAGGAAGAUUCUGAGAUUCAAGACUCAAGACUGAAGAAGAUCAUUAUUUUUAUUAUUUUAGUCUUAUGCACAAAAUGAUAUCUACUGAAUAAGCAGGUUUUUAAUAGGUGACUUAUAUAUGUUAGCAAAAAUAAACACUUUGUCUUUUAGAUCUAUUCUAGUUUUUCAGUAGCUGUAGACUUAAGUGCUAACUUUUAGCCCAUAGGAUAAGAAGAAACCAAGUCCUAAAAGUAGGCCAGCACCAGGGUUCAGGCCUCUGACUUCAAGCCAAGGGCUCAUCAUCUUGAAUUGCGCACGAAUUUUUACACAGCGCCAAAGGAAACUGCCUGUACUUACUGUUGUAGGUGCUUUGCUGGAUUCAGGAUGCAGACAAGGUCCACGCAUUGUGGUUGGGACAAUGACUAGAUCUUUACCUGGUCCACAGCCCUCCCCAGUCUGGCUGCAACCUCUCAUGAGGCUGAGCUCACCAUGAACCCCUGCUCUAGGCGUCUGCAUAGUGUUCUGUUUGUCCCCGUGACUGUCCACCUCUUCUUUGGCCUGUUGGCAUGCGCUUAUCCUCCAGACCUCAGUCCAAAGGUCAGUCCCGGAGCAGACACAACCCUGUUUGCAGAGAGCCAACAUUCUAAUUGACAGUGCGUGGUGGGAAACAGUGAACCGAGGGAAAGAGUGCCAGUGUUAGAGAGCCACAGUGCAGUGAAGAAGAGAAGGCAAGAGGAUGUGAUGCAAAAUCACAGGACCUGGCUUCCAGACCAUUCUGCUUCCAUGAGAACAUUUCAGUUGAGAACCGGAUGGCAUGAAAGCAGGAUUCCACUUGCAAGCCGUGUGAUAUGGGGCAGCUCACCUUUAUUGAAGUAUCAGAGAAUCAUUUUCUUAAGAGAUGGUAAUGGAAUCCAUGCAUUUGAAAUAAAUCAACAGAAAAAAAUGAUUCAGAAGAGAGGGAACUAGCCUAAGGACAACUGUGAUAUUGUGAAAUAUAUAUAUGGGUCUUCAUCCUGUGUCCUGGCAUACCUAAAACCCUUGGAAUAUCCAAAGGCAUGCUUUUCAUGUGCAAAUGAUUGACUGAUGUCUUCAGGAUGGAGCCAAUCACCAGAAAUGUCAAAGCAUAAUUAGAGUGUUGGGACUUUCAGCCAUACCCCACACCCCUGACCUUUGGGGAGGAGAGACGGGCAGAAGGUUAAGUCCAUCAACAAUGGCCAGUGAUGUAAUCAGUCAUGCCUAUGUAAUGAAGCUUCCAUAAAAAUCCCAAAGGACUGGGUCUGGAGAGCUUCUGGAUAUCUGAGCACAUGGAGGUUCCUGGAGGGUGGUGCCUGGGGCAGUCAUGGAAGCAUCUCAUCCCUUCCCACAUGCCUUGCCCUAUGCAUCUCUUCAUCUGUAUCCUUUAAAAUAUCUUUGUAAUAAACUGCUAAGCAUA